This 225-nucleotide ribosomal RNA is filed under the name uncultured bacterium. RNAcentral's name for it is "partial 16S ribosomal RNA". It matches the Rfam family "Bacterial small subunit ribosomal RNA", at positions 118 to 339 of the family's 1533-position model. The record is from RNAcentral.
UGAGCAACCUGCCCCUUGACCCUGGAAUAACAGCUGGAAACCGCUGCUAAUACCGGAUACGACCUCCGAUGGCAUCAUCUGGAGGUGGAAAGCUCCGACGGUCAAGGAUGGGCUCGCGGCCUAUCAGCUUGUUGGUGUGGUAAUGGCCCACCAGGGCGACGGACGGGUAGCCGGCCUGAGGAGGGCGACCGGCCACACGUGGGACUGAGACACGGCCCAGACUCC